CCAAUAGCGUAUAUUAAAGUUGUUGCAGUUAAAAAGCUCGUAGUUGAAUUUCGGGGUUAGUAAGUUGGUUGUGCCACUGGUAUGUACUGGCUUUACUGAUUCCUCCUUCUUGUAGAACCGUAAUGCCAUUAAGUUGGUGUUGCGGGGAAACAGGACUGUUACUUUGAAAAAAUUAGAGUGUUUAAAGCAAGCUAACGCUUGAAUACAUUAGCAUGGAAUAAUGAAAUAGGACGUUCGAUCCUAUUUUGUUGGUUUCUAGGAUUGACGUAAUGAUUAAUAGGGAUAGUUGGGGGCAUUAGUAUUCAAUUGUCAGAGGUGAAAUUCUUGGAUUUAUUGAAGACUAACUACUGCGAAAGCAUUUGCCAAGGAUGUUUUCAUUAAUCAAGAACGAAAGUUAGGGGAUCGAAGACGAUCAGAUACCGUCGUAGUCUUAACCAUAAACUAUGCCGACUAGGGAUCGGAUGAUGUUAAUUUUAUAAUGACUCAUUCGGCGCCUUACG
This 500-nucleotide unclassified non-coding RNA is filed under the name uncultured Glomus. Its description in RNAcentral is "SSU rRNA". It matches the Rfam family "Eukaryotic small subunit ribosomal RNA", at positions 591 to 1092 of the family's 1831-position model. The record is from RNAcentral. Lineage: Eukaryota; Fungi; Glomeromycota; Glomeromycetes; Glomerales; Glomeraceae.